This 3072-nucleotide long non-coding RNA is filed under the name Betta splendens (Siamese fighting fish). RNAcentral describes it as "lncRNA (ENSBSLG00000007651.1)". Lineage: Eukaryota; Metazoa; Chordata; Actinopteri; Anabantiformes; Osphronemidae. The record is from RNAcentral.
AUGGCAACGUCCUCCAGGCGGACGCUGAUCCGAAGGGCUGAGGAGUCGAGGCGGGCGUCGCCGCAGGAGGCAGCGCCAUCCGGGCAGCAGGAGGCGCCGAGGGCAAGGCCACCAGUCCGGCGGCCGAGACAAGGACGAGGCAGGGACCAGCGGCGUCCUCCUUGGACCACCGCGACGAGAGGCGGGAACCAGCGGCGUCCUCCUUGGACCACCGCGACGAGAGCCGGGAACCAGCGGCGUCCUCCUUGGACCACCGCGACGAGAAACAGGAACCGAUGCAGGUGCGGCCGGAGCCGGGCCGCCAGGAACCGAUGCAGGUGCGGCCGGAGCCGGGCCGCCAGGAACCGAUGCAGGUGCGGCCGGAGCCGGGCCGCCAGGAACCGAUGCAGGUGCGGCCGGAGCCGGGCCGCCAGGAACCGAUGCUGGUGCGGCCGGAGCCGGGACGGGCGCGACCCCCUCCUGGAGGUCCGCCGGGACUACGACGGGAGCGACCCCCUCCUGGAGGUCGGCAGGGACUACGGCGGGAGCGACCCCCUCCUGGAGGUCGGCAGGAACUACGACGGGAGCGACCCCCUCCUGGAGGUCGGCAGGAACUACGGCGGGAGCGACCCCCUCCUGGAGGUCGGCAGGAACUACGACGGGAGCGACCCCCUCCUGGAGGUCGGCAGGAACUACGACGGGCGCGACCCCCUCCUGGGGGUCGACAGGAACUGCGACGGGCGCGACCCCCUCCUGGGGGUCCGCCGGGACUGCGACGGGCGCGACCCCCUCCUGGGGGUCCGCCGGGACUGCGACGGGCGCGACCCCCUCCUGGAGGCGCGCAGGAACUGCGGCUGGCGCGACCCCCUCCUGGAGGCGCGCAGGAACUGCGGCUGGCGCGACCUCCUCCUGGAGGCGCGCAGGAACUGCGGCUGGCGCGACCUCCUCCUGGAGCGUGGCGCGACCUCCUCCUGGAGGCGCGCAGGAACUGCGGCUGGCGCGACCUCCUCCUGGAGGCGCGCAGGAACUGCGGCUGGCGCGACCUCCUCCUGGAGGCGCGCAGGAACUGCGGCUGGCGCGACCUCCUCCUGGAGGCGCGCAGGAACUGCGGCUGGCGCGACCUCCUCCUGGAGGCGCGCAGGAACUGCGGCUGGCGCGACCUCCUCCUGGAGGCGCGCAGGAACUGCGGCUGGCGCGACCUCCUCCUGGAGGCGCGCAGGAACUGCGGCUGGCGCGACCUCCUCCUGGAGGCGCGCAGGAACUGCGGCUGGCGCGACCUCCUCCUGGAGGCGCGCAGGAACUGCGGCUGGCGCGACCUCCUCCUGGAGGCGCGCAGGAACUGCGGCUGGCGCGACCUCCUCCUGGAGGCGCGCAGGAACUGCGGCUGGCGCGACCUCCUCCUGGAGGCGCGCAGGAACUGCGGCUGGCGCGACCUCCUCCUGGAGGCGCGCAGGAACUGCGGCUGGCGCGACCUCCUCCUGGAGGCGCGCAGGAACUGCGGCUGGCGCGACCUCCUCCUGGAGGCGCGCAGGAACUGCGGCUGGCGCGACCUCCUCCUGGAGGCGCGCAGGAACUGCGGCUGGCGCGACCUCCUCCUGGAGGCGCGCAGGAACUGCGGCUGGCGCGACCUCCUCCUGGAGGCGCGCAGGAACUGCGGCUGGCGCGACCUCCUCCUGGAGGCGCGCAGGAACUGCGGCUGGCGCGACCUCCUCCUGGAGGCGCGCAGGAACUGCGGCUGACGCGACCUCCUCCUGGAGGCGCGCAGGAACUGCGGCUGGCGCGACCUCCUCCUGGAGGCGCGCAGGAACUGCGGCUGACGCGACCUCCUCCUGGAGGCGCGCAGGAACUGCGGCUGACGCGACCUCCUCCUGGAGGCGCGCAGGAACUGCGGCUGACGCGACCUCCUCCUGGAGGUGCGCAGGAACUGCGGCUGACGCGACCUCCUCCUGGAGGUGCGCAGGAACUACGGCUAGCGCGACCUCCUCCUGGAGGUGCGCAGGAACUGCCACUGGCGCGACCUCCUCCUGGAGGUGCGCAGGAACUGCAGGUGCUGCCUCCUCCUGGAGGCCGGCGGGCGCUGCGGCUCCAAGGGUGACGGGGACUGGAACGACCGCUACAGGGCCGACGGGAACGGGGAAUGGAACGACCGCUACAGGGCCGACAGGAACGGGGUCAGAGACAGGGGUGACCUCUACUUGGCCUACGGGAACGCCCUCAACUUGGCCUACGGGAACGCCCUCUACUUGGCCUACGGGAACGCCCUCUACUUGGCCUACGGGAACGCCCUCUACUUGGCCUACGGGAACGCCCUCUACUUGGCCUACGGGAACGCCCUCAACUUGGUCGACAGGGACAGGAGCUGGAACGACCUCAACUUGGUCGACAGGGACAGGAACUGGAACGACCUCAACUUGGUCGACAGGGACAGGAACUGGAACGACCUCAACUUGGUCGACAGGGACAGGAACUGGAACGACCUCAACAUGGCCGACAGGAACAGGAACUGGAACGACCUCAACUUGGUCGACAGGGACAGGAACUGGAACGACCUCAACAUGGCCGACAGGAACAGGAACUGGAACGACCUCAACUUGGUCGACAGGGACAGGAACUGGAACGACCUCAACAUGGCCGACAGGAACAGGAACUGGAACGACCUCAACUUGGUCGACAAGAACUGGAACGACCUCAACAUGGCCGACAGGAACUGGAACGACCUCAACAUGGCCGACAGGAACUGGAACGACCUCAACAUGGCCGACAGGAACUGGAACGACCGCAACAUGGCCGACAGGAACUGGAACGACCUCAACAUGGCCGACAGGAACUGGAACGGCCUCUGCUUGGCCGACAGGAACUAGAACGGCGUCCUCCUCUGAGGAGCCGACAGGAACUGGAACUAGAAUGGCCUCAAUAUGGCCGACGGGAACAGGAACGGCGUCCUCCUCUGAGGAGCCGACAGGAACUAGAACGGCGUCCUCCUCUGAGGAGCCGACAGGAACUAGAACGGCCGCAACAUGGCCGACAGGGACUGGAACGGCCGCAACAUGGCCGACAGGGACUGGAACGGCGUCAACUCCGGAGCUGGCAUGA